RNAcentral lists this ribosomal RNA (253 nucleotides) under uncultured bacterium. Its description in RNAcentral is "partial 16S ribosomal RNA". It matches the Rfam family "Bacterial small subunit ribosomal RNA", at positions 524 to 776 of the family's 1533-position model. The record is from RNAcentral. RNAcentral also lists the same sequence under 1 other name.
UACGAAGGGGGCUAGCGUUGUUCGGAAUUACUGGGCGUAAAGCGCACGUAGGCGGAUAUUUAAGUCAGGGGUGAAAUCCCAGAGCUCAACUCUGGAACUGCCUUUGAUACUGGGUAUCUGGAGUAUGGAAGAGGUGAGUGGAAUUCCGAGUGUAGAGGUGAAAUUCGUAGAUAUUCGGAGGAACACCAGUGGCGAAGGCGGCUCACUGGUCCAUUACUGACGCUGAGGUGCGAAAGCGUGGGGAGCAAACAGG